UACGAAGGGUGCAAACGUUGCUCGGAAUUAUUGGGCGUAAAAGCGCACGUAGGCGGCUUAGCAAGUCGGAAGUGAAAGCCCUUGGCUCAACCAAGGAAGUGCUUUCGAAACUGCUGAGCUUGAGUAGUUAAGAGGAUCGCGGAAUUCCCGGUGUAGAGGUGAAAUUCGUAGAUAUCGGGAGGAACACCAGUGGCGAAGGCGGCGAUCGUGGGAACAUACUGACGCUGAGGUGCGAAAGCGUGGGGAGCAAACAGGG
RNAcentral lists this ribosomal RNA (256 nucleotides) under uncultured bacterium. RNAcentral's name for it is "partial 16S ribosomal RNA". It matches the Rfam family "Bacterial small subunit ribosomal RNA", at positions 524 to 777 of the family's 1533-position model. The record is from RNAcentral.